AUACGAAGGGGGCAAGCGUUGUUCGGAAUAACUGGGCGUAAAGCGCACGUAGGCGGAAUGUUAAGUUAGAGGUGAAAUCCCAGGGCUCAACCCUGGAACUGCCUUUAAUACUGGCAAUCUAGAGACCGAGAGAGGUGAGUGGAAUUCCGAGUGUAGAGGUGAAGUUCGUAGAUAUUCGGAGGAACACCAGUGGCGAAGGCGGCUCACUGGCUCGGUACUGACGCUGAGGUGCGAAAGCGUGGGGGGCAAACAGGAUUAGAAACCCCAGUAGUCC
Molecule: ribosomal RNA, 274 nt
Filed under: uncultured bacterium
Lineage: Bacteria
Description: partial 16S ribosomal RNA
Rfam family: Bacterial small subunit ribosomal RNA
Source: RNAcentral